GAUGAACGCUGGCGGCGUGCCUAAUACAUGCAAGUCGAGCGAACGGGCGAGAAGCUUGCUUUUCUGAUGUUAGCGGCGGACGGGUGAGUAACACGUGGAUAACCUACCUAUAAGACUGGGAUAACUUCGGGAAACCGGAGCUAAUACCGGAUAAUAUUUUGAACCGCAUGGUUCAAAAGUGAAAGACGGUCUUGCUGUCACUUAUAGAUGAAUCCGCGCUGCAUGAGCUAGUUGGUAAGGUAACGGCUUACCAAGGCAACGAGGCAUGGCCGACCUGAGGGGAUGAUCGGCAGCCCGGAAGCGAGGACAAGGCCAGACUCCUACGGGAGGCAGCAGUAGGGAAUCUUACGCAAUGGGCGAAAGCCUGACGGAGCAACGCCGCGUGAGUGAUGAAGGUCUUCGGAUCGUAAAACUCUGUUAUUAGGGAGGAACAUAUGUGUAAGUAACUGUGCACAUCUUGACGGUACCUAAUCAGAAAGCCACGGCUAACUACGUG
This 496-nucleotide ribosomal RNA is filed under the name uncultured bacterium. RNAcentral's name for it is "partial 16S ribosomal RNA". It matches the Rfam family "Bacterial small subunit ribosomal RNA", at positions 28 to 507 of the family's 1533-position model. The record is from RNAcentral.